RNAcentral lists this ribosomal RNA (468 nucleotides) under uncultured bacterium. Its description in RNAcentral is "partial 16S ribosomal RNA". It matches the Rfam family "Bacterial small subunit ribosomal RNA", at positions 28 to 507 of the family's 1533-position model. The record is from RNAcentral.
GACGAACGCUGGCGGCGUGCUUAACACAUGCAAGUCGAACGGAAAGGCCUUGCUUUUGUGGGGUGCUCGAGUGGCGAACGGGUGAGUAACACGUGAGUAACCUGCCCUUGACUUUGGGAUAACUUCAGGAAACUGGGGCUAAUACCGGAUAGGAGCUCCUGCUGCAUGGUGGGGGUUGGAGUGUUUAGGGGUUUGGGGAUGGACUCGUGGCUUAUGAGCUUGUUGGUGGGGGAGUGGCUUACCAAGGCUUUGACGGGUAUCCGGCCUGAGAGGGUGACCGGCCACAUUGGGACUGAGAUACGGCCCAGACUCCUACGGGAGGCAGCAGUGGGGGAUAAUGCACAAUGGGCGGAAGCAGGAUGAAGGAACGACGCGUGCGGGAUGACGGACUUCGGGUUGUAAACCGCUUUCGCCUCUGACGAAGCGUGAGUGACGGUAACGGGUAAAGAAGCACCGGCUAACUACGUG